Molecule: small RNA, 833 nt
Filed under: Pan troglodytes (chimpanzee)
Lineage: Eukaryota; Metazoa; Chordata; Mammalia; Primates; Hominidae
Description: retained intron
Source: RNAcentral
CUUCCUUGAGGUCAAUGAUCCAGGGGAACCCUCAGGUGCAUGGCUGGGUCCUGGGGGUAAGGGAAGUGGAGGAAGACAGGGCUGGGGCUUCAGCUCACCAGACCUUCCCUGACCCACUACUCAGGGCUGGAGACUCUGAAAGACACACCGCCCCCACGGCUCAUCAAGUCACACCUGCCCCUGGCUCUGCUCCCUCAGACUCUGUUGGAUCAGAAGGUCAAGGUGGUCUAUGUUGCCCGAAACCCAAAGGACGUGGCGGUCUCCUACUACCAUUUCCACCGUAUGGAAAAGGCGCACCCUGAGCCUGGGACCUGGGACAGCUUCCUGGAAAAGUUCAUGGCUGGAGAAGGUGGGCUUGACUGGAGGAAGGAGGGUGUGAAGCCGAGGGGUGGUGGCUAUAACGUACAGCAACCCUGUGUCGGUGCCCCCUGCCCGCUUCUCUAGUGUCCUACGGGUCCUGGUACCAGCACAUGCAGGAGUGGUGGGAGCUGAGCCGCACCCACCCUGUUCUCUACCUCUUCUAUGAAGACAUGAAGGAGGUGAGACCGCCUGUGAUGCUUCCCCCCAUGUGACACCUGGGGGCAGGCACCUCACAGGGACCCACCAAGGCCACCCAGCCCCGUCCCUGGGCGGCUCCCACAGCAAGCCCAGAUUCCCCAUCCUACCUCCCUGGCCCAGGCCCCCCGACUGCAGCCCCACCUGGCAGCAGGCUCGGCACAGCUUUCAUCUUCUGCACCUGAGUCAGCUGCAUGGGUGGCCACGGAUCAGAUACUUAGUCCUAUUGCUUAUCCUCACCAAAGGGUGUGCUACCCAGGGCCACAGUCACGGAAGAA